GAGUCCGUGUCGCAACGGUAGCGCGUCUGACUCCAGAUCAGAUGGUUGCGUGUUCAAAUCACGUCGGGGUCA
Molecule: transfer RNA, 72 nt
Filed under: Blattella germanica (German cockroach)
Lineage: Eukaryota; Metazoa; Arthropoda; Insecta; Blattodea; Blattellidae
Description: tRNA-Trp (CCA) (tRNA-Trp-CCA-17-1)
Rfam family: tRNA
About the family: Transfer RNA (tRNA) molecules are approximately 80 nucleotides in length. Their secondary structure includes four short double-helical elements and three loops (D, anti-codon, and T loops).
Source: RNAcentral